UCAAGCUAUAAAGAGCACAAGGGGAAUGCCUUGGCACUAGGAGCCGAAGAAGGACGUGACUAACUGCGAAAAGCUACGGGGAGUUGUAAGUAAACAUUGAUCCGUAGAUUUCCGAAUGGAGCAAUCCGGCUGUGGUCAUGCACAGUCAUCAUAUACUGAAUACAUAGGUAUAUGAGGGGAACCGCCUGAACUGAAACAUCUAAGUAGGGCGAGGAAGAGAAAUCAACCGAGAUUCCGCUAGUAGUGGCGAGCGAACGCGGAAGAGGCCAAACCAGAGGUAGAAAUACCUUUGGGGUUCGGACAACAUACGAUAUUGAUAAUUUCUAGCUGAAUAGUGUGGGAAAGCUAACCGAAGAAGGUGAGAGUCCUGUAAGCGAAAGGAAGAGUCAGUCAGUUGUAUCCAGAGUACCGCCGGACACGUGAAACCCGGUGGGAAUAUGGGGGGACCAUCCUCCAAGCCUAAAUACUACCUAGUGACCGAUAGAGAAGAAGUACUGUGAAGGAAAGGUGAAAAGCACCCCGGGAGGGGAGUGAAAGAGAACCUGAAACCUUGUGUUUACAAGCACCGAAAGUCCAUCAAAGGACGAUCGGGUACCUUUUGUAGAAUGGUCCGGCGAGUGUAUGUAUCUAGCAAGGUUAAGCACUUAAGGUGUGAAGCCAAAGCGAAAGCAAGUCUGAAUAGGGCGACAAGUUAGAUGUAUACGACCCGAAACCGGGUGACCUACCCAUGGCCAGGCUGAAGUGAAGGUAAAACUUCAUGGAGGGCCGAACCGACUCCCGUUGAAAUGGUAGCGGAUGAGGUGUGGGUAGCGGAGAAAUUCCAAUCGAACCCGGAGAUAGCUGGUUCUCUCCGAAAUAGCUUUAGGGCUAGCCUUGAAAUAGAUUACUGGAGGUAAAGCACUGAAUUGGCUAGGGGCCGAAAGGUUACUGAACCUUAUCAAACUCAGAAUGCCAGAUAAUCGUUUUUCAGGAGUCAGACGGUGGGAGAUAAGUUUCAUCGUCAAAAGGGAAACAGCCCAGACCCACAGCUAAGGUCCCAAAUUAUAGUUAAGUGGAGAAGGAUGUGGGAUUGCAUAGACAACCAGGAUGUUGGCUUAGAAGCAGCCACUCAUUAAAAGAGUGCGUAAUAGCUCACUGGUCGAGUGAUCCCGCGCCGAAAAUUUAACGGGGCUAAACUAUAAACCGAAGCUUGGGAUACCGUAAGGUAUGGUAGGAGAGCGUCAUGUAAGGGGUGAAGUCAUAGCGAAAGCGGUGGUGGACUUUACAUGAGUGAGAAUGCCGGAAUGAGUAGCGAGAAUUAAGUGAGAAUCUUAAUGGCCGAAAGUCUAAGGUUUUUGGAGGAAGGUUCGUCCGCUCCAAGUAAGUCGGGAGCUAAGGCGAGGCCGAAAGGCGUAGUCGAUGCACAUACGGUUGAUAUUCCGUAACCACUGACAACUUAAACAAAAUGACACUUUAGAAGGGCUUGACCCGGGUGCUGGUAAUCCCGGGCGUAAGGGACCGAAAUUUAGUAGGGAAGCAAGCUUGGAUGGAGGCGAGAAAAGUUUUGUGUAUGUAAUGUUGGUGCCCGUACCGCAAACCGACACAGGUGGACAGGAAGAGAAUUCUAAGGCCAGCGGGAGAAGGGUAGUUAAGGAACUCGGCAAAUUGACUCCGUAACUUCGGGAAAAGGAGUGCUCUCGAGAGAGAGCCGCAGUGAAUAGGCCCAGGCGACUGUUUAGCAAAAACACAGGUCUCUGCCAAAUCGAAAGAUGAAGUAUAGGGGCUGACACCUGCCCGGUGCUGGAAGGUUAAGAGGAGGAGUGAGAGCUCCGAAUUGAAGCCCCAGUAAACGGCGGCCGUAACUAUAACGGUCCUAAGGUAGCGAAAUUCCUUGUCGGGUAAGUUCCGACCCGCACGAAUGGUGUAACGAUCUGGGCACUGUCUCAACUACCCGCCCGGCGAAAUUGUAGUACCGGUGAAGAUGCCGGUUACCUGCGACAAGACGGAAAGACCCCAUGGAGCUUUACUGUAGCUUGAUAUUGGGUUUCGGUAAUUUAUGUACAGGAUAUGUGGGAGACUGGGAAGUUAUGGCGCCAGCCAUAAUGGAGUCGAUGUUGGGAUACCACACUUAGAUUGCUGGAAUUCUAACCUGUGGCCAUGAAACUGGUCAGGGGACAUUGUCAGGUGGGCAGUUUGACUGGGGCGGUCGCCUCCGAAAGAGUAACGGAGGCGCUCAAAGGUUGGCUCAGCACGGACGGAAACCGUGCAUUAGAGUGCAAACGCGUAAGCCAGCCUAACUGCGAGGGUGACGGCCCGAGCAGUAACGAAAGUUGGAGUUAGUGAUCCGGCGGUAUGAGAGUGGAAUUGCCGUCGCUCAACGGAUAAAAGCUACCCUGGGGAUAACAGGCUGAUCUCCCCCAAGAGUCCACAUCGACGGGGAGGUUUGGCACCUCGAUGUCGGCUCAUCACAUCCUGGGGCUGUAUUCGGUCCCAAGGGUUCGGCUGUUCGCCGAUUAAAGUGGUACGCGAGCUGGGUUCAGAACGUCGUGAGACAGUUCGGUCCCUAUCUGUCAUGGGCGUAGGAUAUUUGAGGAGAGCUGUUCCUAGUACGAGAGGACCGGGAUGGACGCACCGCUGGCGCACCAGUUGUCAUGCCAAUGGCACAGCUGGGCAACUAUGUGCGGACCGGAUAAACGCUGAAAGCAUCUAAGCGUGAAGCCGACUCCAAGAUAAGAUAUCCCAUAGUGUUAAACUAGUAAGACCCCUUGUAGACUACGAGGUAGAUAGGCUGCGUGUGUAAGCACGGUAACGUGUUCAGCUUGGCAGUACUAAUAGGUCGAGGGCUUGACCAU
Molecule: ribosomal RNA, 2831 nt
Filed under: human gut metagenome
Description: bacterial LSU rRNA
Rfam family: Bacterial large subunit ribosomal RNA
Source: RNAcentral